UGGGUCUAUAGCUCAGGUGGUUAGAGCGCACGCCUGAUAAGCGUGAGGUCGAUGGUUCGAGUCCAUUUAGACCCACC
This 77-nucleotide transfer RNA is filed under the name Clostridium perfringens. Its description in RNAcentral is "tRNA-Ile". It matches the Rfam family "tRNA". Rfam says of the family: Transfer RNA (tRNA) molecules are approximately 80 nucleotides in length. Their secondary structure includes four short double-helical elements and three loops (D, anti-codon, and T loops). Further hydrogen bonds mediate the characteristic L-shaped molecular structure. tRNAs have two regions of fundamental functional importance: the anti-codon, which is responsible for specific mRNA codon recognition, and the 3' end, to which the tRNAs corresponding amino acid is attached (by aminoacyl-tRNA synthetases). tRNAs cope with the degeneracy of the genetic code in two manners: having more than one tRNA (with a specific anti-codon) for a particular amino acid; and 'wobble' base-pairing, i.e. permitting non-standard base-pairing at the 3rd anti-codon position. The record is from RNAcentral. Lineage: Bacteria; Bacillati; Bacillota; Clostridia; Eubacteriales; Clostridiaceae.